AGUCAAGGGAAGGGGAAGAUUGUUCAGAUUAACUUCUCAUCCACAACAGUUUCCCUGUACAUAUGAGGACCAAGCCAAGUUAAUCACUCAUAAGCUCGAUAUUGUGAAGAAGCCCUUUGGAGGCUAUGUUUCCAGUAUUAAAAGGGCAUUCAAAUUUCUCACAUCUUCCACAGUCUGCUCACUCCACAAGCUUUAAAAAUCUCUGUAUCUUUCCAUGUGAUGAAACAGGAACUUUACAUUUUGAGGGAAGUACUCCAGUUUAGAUACCUACAAUGUAGGUCUUCUUUUUGGCCUGGAUCUCAUCCAAAUCUAUGUAAGGGUAGUUCACUUUGAAAGGCUACUCAAAAACAAUGCCGCUGGCACUAACCAUUCCAUUAGUUCUCCCACUGCAUAGUAACAGCUCAAACAGAAUUCUGUGCACCCCACACCAACCUCAUAAACCUCUCUGCUGCUAUGCAAGUCUUUUCUUUCUUUGCUUUGGCAGAAGGGAAGGAAGCAAUACUUCAUCUACUUUGUCAUGCACAAAUUUAUUUUCUUAUAAAUAAAAAAUUAGAAAAGAAUUCUCCAAACAUUUGGAAAAACGGAAGAUGAAGUGGCAACUCAGUAAGGUAGCCGUAAUUAUGAGCAACAAGCUCAUCAUCCCACAUUAUUUUCCUACAGAAGUGUGGCUGCUUCUCUUGCAAACUCCUGCAACCUACCAGUGCCACUGUCUGAAGUGUCUGAGUGAAGUGUAAUAUAAAGACAGCACCAGAAGGAAUCAUGUACUCACAGAAAGAACAGCAUCCUCCCCUCCUGGUAGGAUGAACAUCUCCACUUCUCUUCAAGCUCCAAUGUAAGAGCAAGGGACUUCCGCAACAGCUUAGCUGAAUGCUGAACUGCUGAACAGAUGCAUUCGGAACACAACAACACUGGGCCCAAAUUUCACCACAUCAGAUUCAAAUGAGAAGUUCACAAGAGGUCACUUCAGAAUCCGUGCUGUACAACAGUCUACUCUGUGUGACAAAGGUGCUCUCUUUAAAUUCCUCUAUACUCUGCAGAUGAAGUUAGCACACUUCACCAGCUGUUACUUUGCUUCGGUAUAUAGUAUUUCAAUCCUGAUUAAAAGGCUUACCAGGAAGCACUCCCAAUCAUUUGCUAUAAACUGGUUGUUUGCUCUGUUUCAAGCUCAAAAUUGUAAUAGAGAUAUACUUCAAACAUACAGUGGUUCUCUCCAAAAUAAUAUAAAUGGAUUUUUUGUUGUUGUUGACAUUUUAA
Molecule: non-coding RNA, 1254 nt
Organism: Meleagris gallopavo (turkey)
Lineage: Eukaryota; Metazoa; Chordata; Aves; Galliformes; Phasianidae
Source: RefSeq, a predicted model, not a curated record